This is a long non-coding RNA of Homo sapiens (human), 1213 nucleotides long. Ensembl annotates it as JPX transcript, XIST activator. Its record names the gene JPX. Lineage: Eukaryota; Metazoa; Chordata; Mammalia; Primates; Hominidae. The record is from Ensembl.
GGAAGACUUAAGAUGGCGGCGUUUGCACGGAGUGCAAUCACUGCGUCCUUACGGGGGUUGCAAGGCGUCCGAAGUAUGAGUCCACUAACAAAAGUCCAGAAACUCGCCAGUUAAUAGUAUUGUGUCUCUUCAAAAUAUCGGAGAAUAAUUUCUUUCUCGCUGAUCGCCUAACUUCUACUGACGAAGCUUGGAAGUUGCAGAAGUUCGCUCUUGUUGCCCAGGCUGGAAUGCAAUGGCAUGACCUUGGCUCACUGCAACCUCUGCCUCCCCAGUUCAAGUGGUUCUCCUGCCUCAGCCUCCCGAGUAGCUGAGAUUACAGAAAAGGGGUUUCACCUUUUGGCCAGGCUGAUCUCGAACUUCUGACCUCAAGCAAUCCACCCGCCUUGGCCUCCCAAAGUGCUGGGAUUACAGGCGUGAGCCACUGCGCCCAGCCCAUAUAGAGGUACUGGCUCCUGUAUCACCCAGCUCUGGAGUUGAAAGAGCUCUUCAUUCCUGAGUCUCCUGUACCACUGAGAAUAGGCUGGAGUGCAGUGGCGCAAUCUCGGCUCUCUGCAACCUUCACCUCCCGUGUUCAAGUGAUUCUCCUGCCUCAGCCUCCUGAAUACCUGAGAUUACAAGCAUGCACCACCACGCCCGUCUAAUUUUGUAUUUUCACUAGAGACGGGGUUUCUCCAUGUUGGUCAGGCUGGUCUCGAACUCCCGACCUCAGGUGAUCCGCCCGCCUCAGCCUCCCAAAGUGCUGGGAUUACAGGCAUGAGCCACCGCGUCCAGCAAGAAUAGGUGAUUUUCAAACUUGGAAACAUUCAGAAGUUAUCGCCUCAGUUUCAGAUUGAGUAGUCUCAAAGAGAUUACAGACAUCUACCACAAAUUCUCUACUUGGUGUGGUGCAAAAUCAGUAUGAUGUAAACUUUGUCUCUCAGUUUCUUCAAAGGAAAGAAGCAACUGGAACACACAUAUAACACUAACCCUUCCAGCUGCAUUAUGAGGGACCAGUACCUGUCUCAAGGCAAAAUUAUGACUUAGUUCAUCCUCACCUCUGGAGGCCAGUAAAAGUGGGUUAUAGAAGAACAAAGAGGCAUCUAGAUCUUUCACUGGGUUAUUUGGAGAGAAACAUCUCCUACCGAAGGCCAGUUUAACAAGACUGGUAGAGGAGGUUAUCUUAUCUAAUUCACAGAAAUCAACACAUUGAGUCAAGAAAAAUGAAACACAGAAA